RNAcentral lists this ribosomal RNA (253 nucleotides) under uncultured bacterium. Its description in RNAcentral is "partial 16S ribosomal RNA". It matches the Rfam family "Bacterial small subunit ribosomal RNA", at positions 524 to 776 of the family's 1533-position model. The record is from RNAcentral.
UACGGAGGGUGCAAGCGUUGUUCGGAAUUACUGGGCGUAAAGCGCGUGUAGGCGGCUUGGCAAGUCAGACGUGAAAGCCCUCGGCUUAACCGGGGAAGUGCGUCUGAAACUGCCUUGCUUGAGUACGGGAGAGGGAGGCGGAAUUCCCAGUGUAGAGGUGAAAUUCGUAGAUAUUGGGAGGAACACCGGUGGCGAAAGCGGCCUCCUGGACCGAUACUGACGCUGAGACGCGAGAGCGUGGGGAGCAAACAGG